ACUUGAUCUCAAAUCAGGCAGGAUGACCCGCUGAAUUUAAGCAUAUCAGUAAGCGGAGGAAAAGAAACUAACCAGGAUUCCCUUAGUAACGGCGAGUGAAGCGGGAAAAGCCCAAUCUGAGAAGCUGGUCGGCCCCUGCGCCGGUCCCGCGUUGUAGAUUGAUGGGGCGUUGCCUAGCGGCAGACCUUUCGGCCAAAGUCUCUUGGAACAGAGCGUCAUAGAGGGUGACAACCCCGUGUGUGGCCGGACGACAUCACAGUCUGUCGCGUCGAUGGCGCGUUUCCUUAGAGUCGGAAUGUUUGGGAUUGCAUUCCAAAGCGGGUGGUAAACUCCAUCUAAGGCUAAAUACUGGCGAGAGACCGAUAGCGAACAAGUACCGUGAGGGAAAGUUGAAAAGCACUCUGGAGAGAGAGUCAAACAGUACGUGAAAUUGCUAGCAGGGAAACGUUGGGCACCAGUACGCGGCAAUCAAUGUCGAUGAUCAGUCGGCCGGCGCGGCGGCUAUUGCGUGGAGCUUCCGCUUCAGAGACAGCCCCAGGGCUGCUCACGCGCAGUAGCCGGCCGUGCGGGCCGGUGCACUCUUCGACAGCCGGGUCAACAUCGGUUGCUGGCGUCCGAUAAGCAGCACGGCAAGGUAGCAAUGCAGCGGUCUUUACGGCCGUUGCGCUGAACUUAUAGGCCGGGCAGAGCGAGGACGGCGGCGACCGAGGAGGCAUUGCGGCUCGCGCGCCUUUCGGGGUGCAGGGCGUGCUGGCAGGGUUUUGGUUGCCCGUGGCGCUGGACAGCUUGCUGACCAGGGUUUACUUUGGUGCGCUUCGGCGCAUCAGCGGCGGCCGCUCUGUCGGUACAAGCCACUAGCGAGUCCAUGACGGUUGACGAAAUGGUUCUCAACGACCCGUCUUGAAACACGGACCAAGGAGUCUAACAUGUCUGCGAGUGUUUGGGUGGAAAACCCGAACGCGGAAUGAAAGUGACGAGGUGUGGCUGCGUGCCCACCCGCUNGUAGGAACCGGAACGCUUCGGCGCGCCGGUGCANUACCGACCGACCUGUUGCCCUCNGUGGCGGUAGGUUUGAGUUGGAGCAGUCCUGUUAGGACCCGAAAGAUGGUGAACUAUGCCUGAGCAGGAUGAAGCCAGAGGAAACUCUGGUGGAGGUCCGUAGCGGUUCUGACGUGCAAAUCGAUCGUCGG
RNAcentral lists this ribosomal RNA (1190 nucleotides) under Syncephalis sp. KL-2016a. RNAcentral describes it as "eukaryotic LSU rRNA". It matches the Rfam family "Eukaryotic large subunit ribosomal RNA", at positions 1 to 908 of the family's 3401-position model. Lineage: Eukaryota; Fungi; Zoopagomycota; Zoopagomycetes; Zoopagales; Piptocephalidaceae. The record is from RNAcentral.